GACGAGCUCGACGCCGGCCUCAAAGCUCGCCGCCACUCCAUUCUCGCUUUCGGGGGGCAGCCGCGGUUCCCAAAAAAAAAAAUCCAUCACCACCGUCGAGCAACGCCGCCGUGAAUGGAAGUAGCAAAAAUUGACUUCGGCUCCAGCAAAAUCAAACAUGGUUGUAGCAAAAAAAUCGACCGAAAAAACAGGGAUGUAGCAUCUCGUGAGAAUGAAUGUAGCAAUCAUCAACACCUGUGGUAACAAAAAACUGACAAAAAGGUUGCAUCCAAAGACACAGUCGCGGGUCUUGCAUGUUCAUGGAGAUGGGAUGUAGCAAAAAUUCGACAAACACCGGCAGUAACAAAAAAACAACAUAGUUGUAGCAAAAUCGUUAGCCGGUUCCAGCAAGAAUACGGUGGGAGCAGAUUUCGGGCGGGGUGGGUGGUAGCAAAAACAUAAGCCGGUUCCAGCAAAAUUUAUCUUCGGUUCCAACAAAAUCAUAACAUGGUUGUAGCAAAAAAUCGACUGGAAAUACAGCGAUGUCAUGAAGAUGGAUGUAGCACAAAUGCACAAAACACCGGUGGUAACAAAAACCAAAACGGUUGUAGCAAAAUGGUUCGCCGGUUCCAGCAAAAACUAACGUGGUAGCAGAUUUUGGAUGGGUGGGUGGUAGCAAAUACAUGGGCUGGUUCCAGCAAAAAAAAGCAUGGUUGUAGCAAAUCCUGCUGCGGCGGCCAUGGACCGGAGCGCAACCAGCUGCGGUCGGCCAUGGCGACGAGCGCUGGUUGCCGCAUGGUCGCGCGGAUGGAUGAGCGGUUGCUCACCGGAGCAGCGCGAGGCGAGUGGAUAGUGGCCGCUCGCCGAAGCAGCGCGAGGUGGGUGUAUAAUGGCCGCUCGCCGGAGCAGCACGGGCAGGUGGUAGUGAGGCUCGCCGGAGCAAGGAUGCGGCGGCCCGAGCGAGAGGCAGAGGCGAGGUAGGCGAGACGUGAGC
Molecule: ribosomal RNA, 973 nt
Filed under: Triticum aestivum (bread wheat)
Lineage: Eukaryota; Viridiplantae; Streptophyta; Magnoliopsida; Poales; Poaceae
Description: partial small subunit ribosomal RNA
Source: RNAcentral